RNAcentral lists this ribosomal RNA (254 nucleotides) under uncultured bacterium. RNAcentral describes it as "partial 16S ribosomal RNA". It matches the Rfam family "Bacterial small subunit ribosomal RNA", at positions 524 to 776 of the family's 1533-position model. The record is from RNAcentral.
CACGGAGGGUGCGAGCGUUGUCCGGAAUUAUUGGGCGUAAAGAGCUCGUAGGCGGUGUGUCGCGUCGGCCGUGAAAACCUGCAGCUUAACUGUGGGCUUGCGGUCGAUACGGGCAUCACUGGAGUUCGGCAGGGGAGACUGGAAUUCCUGGUGUAGCGGUGAAAUGCGCAGAUAUCAGGAGGAACACCAACGGCGAAGGCAGCUCGCUAGGACGGUACUGACGCUGAGACGCGAAAGCGUGGGGAGCGAACAGG